CGAGAAGAAAAACUCCGCCCAGACCAUAGCGAAGACGCAGAACACGCGAGUUCCCAACUGCUCGAAUUUGCUUGAUCUGGGCGGGUCGCACUGGUUUGCCUCCCGAAGAUGAGACGAUGAUGAUUAGGAUGAGAUAUUAUUUCAUCAGUUCGAUGACGCAAAAAGUGAUUUCCGCUGAUGAGCCCUUCUAUCCCUUUGUCCACCCACCUUUCCUCCUAGCUCCCCGAACCUUAAAUAGCCAUAAGUCGUUCAUAUACGCAGCAAGCAAGUCGCAAGUUUAGUUUUACCCCCGAUCACCGUCGUCGCGAGUAAGGAGUGUACGAGAAAGUACGAAGAGAAGUGUAAAGUGUUCUAAUCGACAGAGGAAGACCUGGACGAUUAAUAAGCCAAACGCCCCGAAUCGUUCCUGGUUCGCCGCGUGCUACGGCACGGUCAAAAGCGUGAUUAAGCCAAAACUAUCGUGCGGACGUCACCAUCGCACUGAACCAGCAAGUCGCCGUCGGCGACUUCGCCGCUGUUAGGGCAUAUCCAAGCAGUUUCGUUAUUAGACGGUGAUCGAAAGUGAGAAAGAUUGUAAAGUUCUCCCCAGAAGCCAACUAAGAAGAAGGUUGACGUGCGGGGCUCAAAGAGCGCGGCGCGCACGCGCACGUGGCAACGCGAUAAUUUCGCACCCGGGCUGACUAAGCCCGCGCACAGCACGUGCCGGCAAGUACGACUCGUGCCAUCAGCUUCCAGCAACCUGACCACGUGUAGCGCUACUAACAGCAUCGAUUAAGCCCCCCGCGAGGUCAAGGCAAUAACGCGUCGUUCACGCGUGC
This is a long non-coding RNA of Culex quinquefasciatus (southern house mosquito), 818 nucleotides long. RefSeq lists it as uncharacterized. The transcript has 3 exons. The record is from RefSeq and is a predicted model, not a curated record. Lineage: Eukaryota; Metazoa; Arthropoda; Insecta; Diptera; Culicidae.